Erythranthe guttata (spotted monkey flower) is the source of this 419-nucleotide non-coding RNA. Lineage: Eukaryota; Viridiplantae; Streptophyta; Magnoliopsida; Lamiales; Phrymaceae. The record is from RefSeq and is a predicted model, not a curated record.
GUAGGGUUAGGGUUAGGGUUUUCUCGGGGAUUUUAUUACAGUUUUGCCCUCAGAUAGUAAGGGGUGUAUCAGUAAAAAGACAAAGGUGAAUGGGGGAAAAAUAGGAGGUCGGUGUCAGUCUCUAUAUAAAGAGAGGCAAUGGCAAUUGAGUGUGUAAACUACUUGAUCUUAUCUGAGCAGAGCGGCGGUGAAGAAUGAACAGGUUCACACAAGACUCUCAAGAGUCAAACAAGACUCUCAAGAGUCAAGACUCCUUUCUGGCAUGGCAUCGAUUAGAGCAAGUUCCACGGAGAUAUUCAUUUACUCAAUUCAAUUUUUUGUUAUCAUGUAUGAGAUAUUCAUUUACUCAUUUCAAAUUGCACUCGUCUAGUUUAUUUGUAUUCAUUUUUAUAUUUAAUAAUAAGAUGCUUCGUUUCAUU